GACGAACGCUGGCGGCGUGCUUAACACAUGCAAGUCGAACGGAAAGGCCCUGCUUUUGUGGGGUGCUCGAGUGGCGAACGGGUGAGUAACACGUGAGUAACCUGCCCUUGACUUUGGGAUAACUUCAGGAAACUGGGGCUAAUACCGGAUAGGAGCUCCUGCUGCAUGGUGGGGGUUGGAAAGUUUCGGCGGUUGGGGAUGGACUCGCGGCUUAUCAGCUUGUUGGUGGGGUAGUGGCUUACCAAGGCUUUGACGGGUAGCCGGCCUGAGAGGGUGACCGGCCACAUUGGGACUGAGAUACGGCCCAGACUCCUACGGGAGGCAGCAGUGGGGAAUAUUGCACAAUGGGCGGAAGCCUGAUGCAGCAACGCCGCGUGCGGGAUGACGGCCUUCGGGUUGUAAACCGCUUUCGCCUGUGACGAAGCGUGAGUGUCGGUAAUGGGUAAAGAAGCACCGGCUAACUACGUG
This 468-nucleotide ribosomal RNA is filed under the name uncultured bacterium. Its description in RNAcentral is "partial 16S ribosomal RNA". It matches the Rfam family "Bacterial small subunit ribosomal RNA", at positions 28 to 507 of the family's 1533-position model. The record is from RNAcentral.